RNAcentral lists this ribosomal RNA (550 nucleotides) under uncultured bacterium. RNAcentral describes it as "partial 16S ribosomal RNA". It matches the Rfam family "Bacterial small subunit ribosomal RNA", at positions 355 to 895 of the family's 1533-position model. The record is from RNAcentral.
UGGGGAAUAUUGCACAAUGGGCGCAAGCCUGAUGCAGCCAUGCCGCGUGUGUGAAGAAGGCCUUCGGGUUGUAAAGCACUUUCAGCGAGGAGGAAGGUGGUGAGCUUAAUACGCUCAUCAAUUGACGUUACUCGCAGAAGAAGCACCGGCUAACUCCGUGCCAGCAGCCGCGGUAAUACGGAGGGUGCAAGCGUUAAUCGGAAUUACUGGGCGUAAAGCGCACGCAGGCGGUUUGUUAAGUCAGAUGUGAAAUCCCCGGGCUCAACCUGGGAACUGCAUUUGAAACUGGCAAGCUAGAGUCUCGUAGAGGGGGGUAGAAUUCCAGGUGUAGCGGUGAAAUGCGUAGAGAUCUGGAGGAAUACCGGUGGCGAAGGCGGCCCCCCGGACGAAGACUGACGCUCAGGUGCGAAAGCGUGGGGCAGCAAACAGGAUUAGAUACCCUGGUAGUCCACGCUGUAAACGAUGUCGAUUUUGGAGGUUGUGCCCUUGAGGCGUGGCUUCCGGAGCUAACGCGUUAAAUCGACCGCCUGGGGAGUACGGCCGCAAGGUU